GAUGGGUUUGCCCUCCUAUCCCACGCGUCCAUCAUCGCUGCACCUUCUACUUCGACUUCCGCUUCUUGACUUUUCUGCUGUAUUCCGCUUUCUCUCAUCCAAAAAAAUAAAAGAUCGUUGCUUCUCCUACCCUCUCUCUCUCUCAUUUUCUUUACUAGGAUUGCUGCGUGCUUCAGAUUGGUUUCUGGAAAUCGGAGGAACCGAUGAAAUUGGCGUCUGGAUUUCGAGGGGAGGCUGAAUUCUUUAAUGUUUCUGAUGAGAUGGAAAAAUAUCAAAGUAAGGAAGAAGUAGCUCUUGGUCGUGGGAAGCGCCUGCGGAAAACUGUUUCACAAGGAAGCAUAUGCUGCACACCUAACUGAAACAUUGAGUGAGGUACUCAAGUAUAGCUUUGGUUUCAUUAACCUUUUGGGUUAUUAAAUUUGUAUGCUCUGAUUGUUUUGCAAUUUGAGUUUGGAUUGGAAUUUAAUUUUGGUUUACAAAUUUUUGAUAAAACCUCAAAAAGAAAUUUAGGAACGCGUUUCUUUUUUUUUUUGGUCUUCUUUCUUCUGAUUUUUUGGGUUUUCAUUUGGGAUAUUUUCUGAACAUGCUCCAUUUAUUUUACGCUUGGUUUCGUAUACCCUGCAGCAGUCAAAUAAAUAACCUUACAGAACCAGAAGCCAUUGAAAUGGCGAGUGGUAUAUAUGUUUAUUUCUAUGUUUUCAAAUCUGGGUUUUAGAUAUUUUUCUUUGUUUUGGUUAAUUAUGGAAUUUUGGCUCCUAAUUUCUUAAAACUUUAGAAUUUUUUUUUUUUUGCUAUUUAGUGUGAGAAUAUGGGUCCAAUAUUGGAUUCUUCCAAUUUCUAGGCAGAGAAAACAGGGUGGUGACAAUAGAGAAUUCCAACUUCUUUGUGGUGGAAAUCAUAGUUUCAUUUUAGAUUUUCCUUUGGGUUUAUGAAAUGAGUUGGAAUGAUGUCUCAUGAUUAUGUGAAUUUUUUUUUAAUUUAGUUGUGAACCUAAUAAUCUAAUCGUGUCUCAUCUCUCAUGAUUAUGUGAAUAUUAAUAAAUUUAGUUGUGAACCAGAACCUGGGUAUCAACCAAGGACUGGUAUCAAUCCCAGAAGGUCAUGUUGGGGUAUAUUGGAGAGGAAGCGCUCUUCUGAAGACAAUUAUAGAUCCAGGGUGAUGUGCAUUGAGAAGUUGCUUGCAUAGGGCCUUAAAUUUGCCUGCUUCUCAUUAUUUCAAAUUUCAAGUUUUCAUCUCAAUCUGCCUGUGGUCACCCAUUUUGAACCUGUUCAAGUGACCCUGCAGACUGAUCAUGUAACUUUGGUAAUCCAUGUUUGAAAGAUUGAGGAUUCUGUCUUUCCAUUCAUUAUAGUUUUAAAGGCUUCUGUUAGCAACAUUGUAGGCAAGGGAUAUUCCAUAUGGUACGAAAGGGGGUGUCAUGAUCAAUUUUGAGAAGAUUGAGUUAAGGCUAUACGAUAUUAUUCUUUAGUAUUUGUAUAGUAGUUUCACUUAGUUGAAGGUUUGAAAAACUCCAUUUAAUAAAUCCAAAAUGUGUAUUCCCUUAGGAGCCGUUUGAUAACCAUUUAGUUUUAGUUUCAAGUUUUUGUUUAGAUUUAUUUUUGGGCAUUUACGAUAACUUUACUUUAGUAUAUGUAGAUUUAAUAUUACAAUUUAGUAUUAAUUUAUAUAUUAUCUUCUUCUUAGGUUCUUCAAGCAUUUAGCUUCUUAGAAUAUCAUUUUUGAAAAAAGCUGGAGUUGUGCAUUUUAUAGUGUGGCCUAACUUCCUUUUCAUUGAAGUGAGAUUUUUGAGAGGGACUGGUAGAUCUCUGAAAAUGAACUUGGUGGAAAUUCCUUAUUACACUGUUCUGUCUCAAAAGUUGUGAAUUAUAUGCAGAUGGUUGACAAAUUGGAUGAUGAAACCAUGGCAAUAGAAUUUGGUCCACCUGAUUUUACUGAGGCCCAUAAGGAUGUUGGAAGAGCCCUCUUCCAAGCACAUGUUGAGGGUCAACUAAAGAAACUUGGUUGCAAGGCAAGUUGGAAAGGCACAAAAGUUUGAUCGCGUCUUAUAGAAAUAGAAAUGCCAGAGAAGGUCAUUUCCAUUUCGUGCAAAAUCAAACUUCUUUCCGCACACAAAAACACUAGAUUUGUACCUAUUUUGGAUUCGAUUGGGAUUUGGUUGGAAUCGAUCUAAUCCAGCGUUUCCAAGUCAGUUUUGCUCGGACGACGAGCCUGUGGCUCAUUCCCUUGAGAGGGACAAGUCCGAAACGGGGAGUAUUGAGAGCAUUGGAGGAGGAGAAGGAGGAGGAGGAGAAGACGAAGAGGAAGAGCCAGUGGACGAGCCCGACGAUCCCAUGGAGGAAGACGAUGUCAACCCCGCCGUCGUCUUCUGCAUCAGGCUGAAGCACCCCAGGUCCAAUUUGCAGCACAAGAUGAGCGUCCCCUAACUUUGUCGCAAUUUUAGAUGUGAAGAGGAUUUGUGAAGUUGCUGUGAUUUCAUGGUACUCAUGUUCAGUUUUUAGAUUUGAUUUGAAGGAAUUUCUAGGGUUUAUUGUGGUCUUCAUUUUUUGGGGCUAUUGUGCGUAGGCUUCCAAGCUGUUUGUGCUUGAGAUGGUUGACAAAUUGGAUGAUGAAACCAUGGCAAUAGAACUUGGUCCACCUGAUUUUAAAGAGGCCCUAUAAGGUAAUAUGCUCUGCCUCAAUUUUACAGAGCUCUUACAUUAGUAUUUUCUUGCUCCUUUUUAACUCUUGACAUGAUUUCAGGAUGUUGGAAGAGCCCUCUUACGAGCACAUGUUGAGAGUCAACUAAGGGUUAACAGAUUUGUAUAUUUAUUAUUUGUCCAUUGAAUAAGAAUCAGAAAAUGGUUCAUGAACACAAAAUGAUUUUGGCAUAUGUACAGAAUGAGAUAAUGUUUAAGCCUGACCUGUUUGUGGCGCCUCAUUUAGAAUUGCCACUUUUGCUUUUGGAUCAAAUGACGUAUGUUGUAUAGCAUCUUAUCUUUGCACAACAUGUCGCUAUUAUUUAACUCCGAAUGGAUCUCAUUUUUUUCAAUAAUUAGAAUUUGGGGAAUUUACUUGGACUUAUUUUUACGUUAGGCUGGUGAAGGGAUUUUGCUCUUAUCAACUCAGAUUAUCAUUACACAAACAAAAUGAUGCAUCAUUGUUCACAUAUUUCUUCCUGAUGAGAUGGGUUGGAAGGAUCGAGCUGGCAACCACUGUUCAGUAGUCAAAGCACUACAUUUUUGAAGUACAUCAGUAAAAUAGGAUCAACAACUCUUUAUAUGUAUAUUGGAGUUAGUGAACAACUACUAUAUAUUUUAUGUAAAUACUUUGUACAUGUUUUAGGUUUAUAGUUUUUAGUUUUACAUAUUUAUGCACAAUGCUUUUAGUCCCUUAUUCUAACACUUGCUUACAUUACUUAUAAUCCAUUUGACAUUAUUUGGAGCUCAUGGUUUUAUAGAAAGGAUAUAUGUGCUGACAUGAACGCAUGCAUAUAGUAUUUCCUCUUCAAUUAAAGAUAGAAAUUCCUAAACGAUAAGAUAUAUUAUGAAUGCAUGCAUAUAUUAUUACCUAGCAAGAUACUAGAACACAUUUAAUGGCAUUUAAUUUUGUCUAUCAAGAAACUAGAAACUAGAAGACAUUGAAUACCAUUAGAAAUUUAAGAUGCAUUACCUUCUUUUCGUAUAAUAUUUUGAAGUUCUUUUUGAGUCGGUAAAAAAUUUAUUUUGUGGACAAUUUUUCGAUGAAAUAUGAUUAAGUAUAAUACUUUCCGAGUUAUUUUGUUUCGAGUCAGAGUAAUUGGAUUUUUCAUGUGGUAGAAAGGAAUUAGAAUUUUGCAUGAAUAGAAUUAUUUGUUUUCACAUUCCAAAUUGAAUGUAGUGUGUUUUAUAUAUUGUUGUAUUAGUUGCAAGGAAAUAAAAUGUUUAUGCAUAUUAUUAUGAAUUUAAUAUAUUUUCACUUAUUUAAAAACAGAGAUUAAUUGUAAAUAUAAUACCUACAAUAUUUAACGUAGCUUUUUUCUCAAUGUCAUUUUCCAAUGCUUAACGUUUGCUUUUGUUUAUGCAUUUGAUUGAAGUGUUAUUUCAUAUUUUAACGCUUUUAAUUGAUUCAUGUUUAUGUUUGAAUCAGGAAAAAAACAUUGCUAAUGGUGAACCGGUGAUGAUGCAACGUUGAUAUGCUUCUGUGUCGAUUUGGCUUCAGUUAUUUGUAAAGAAACGUUGCUGAUGGUGUACCUGUGACGAUGCAACGUUGAUAUACUUCUGUGUCAAUUUGGCGUCAGUUAUUUGGCAAGUUGGAAAAUCACCAAAGUUUGAUCGCGUCCUAUAGCAUUGCUAGAGAAGGUCAUCUCCAUUCGUGCAAAAUCAGACUUCUUUCUGCAAACAAAAACAUUAGUUUUUGACUCAAACAUUGUUUUUGAGCUCUGUGAUAAAAACCUGGACUGGCGUUAAUCUAGCAGAGCUCGGCCGUGGAGAGUCCCAACCCCAAUCCCUAUCCAACACCCAGUCACCCGCUCAGUCUCAACCCUAGUCUCACAAAUUGGCUCGUCGGAGUCGACUGAAAACCGUCGGAGUUGACUGAAAGCCGUUGGCGAACAACCGUCAUCACUGCAAAGCCGCCACCACACCCACCGGUGACGAAGCGGCGAUGCUCUUCUUUUUCGGCUUCCCGGAAAGAAAAUUUUCUGUUUGUUUCUCAGGAAAAUUGGGAUGGAAAUUUGGGAUUUGAUCUUCAUCUUGUUUGAAAUUUGAAGCUUUAUUUAUGUGCAAUUUAAAGUUUGGAGAGAGAGAAAGAGAUGGAAUGCGGGACGAGGGACUGGAAGAAGGGGUGGGCGGAGCAUCUCCUCCUUUGAGGUUUCGUAUUUCAUAUUUUUAGGAAUAUCAGAAGGGUGGAGGUUUCAUUUUUUUCACCUUAGUUUUUAAUAUUUAAUUAUUUUUACUAGGAAAUUUUAUUUGAACUCAUAUAACUUCUUUCUACAUUUAAUUUACUCUUUACACCCA
Molecule: long non-coding RNA, 4973 nt
Organism: Pyrus x bretschneideri (Chinese white pear)
Lineage: Eukaryota; Viridiplantae; Streptophyta; Magnoliopsida; Rosales; Rosaceae
Exons: 13
Source: RefSeq, a predicted model, not a curated record